GAUCCCACCACCUUAAGAUCACCAUGCGAGCCAAAAUCAAGAUUUGGAUACUUAACCAACUGAGUCACUGAGCCACCCAGGUGUCUCACCCCUCCACCACUCCCUCACCCACCCACCCCCGGUGAAUUUUUCCCCCAGUGAAUUUUUAUUUAUUUAUUUUUAAAGAUUUAUUUAUUUAUGAUAGAGAGAGGCAGGCUCCAUGCCGGGAGCCCAACGUGGGACUCCAUCCCGGGACUCCAGGAUUGCGCCCUGGGCCAAAGGCAGGCGCUAAACCGCUGAGCCACCCAGGGAUCCCCUUAUUUUUAUUUUUUUAAACAAAUUUGGUUUUUUUGGUUUUUAAGAUUUUAUUUAUUUAUUCAUGAGAGACAGGCAGAGGCAGAGGCACAGGCAGAAGGAGAAGCUGGCUCCAUGCAGGGAGCCCGAUGUGGGACUCGAUCCUGGGUCUCCAGGAUCACACCCCAGGCUGCAGGCAGCUCUAAACUGCUGUGCCACGGGGGGCUGCCCCUCCCCCCCAGUGAAUUUUUAAAUAACUUCUCUGCUGAUAGUAUGUUAAUGCUAAUUUUGUGCUAGGUUUUUCUGAUUAUUUUAUAAAUCUAAUGUAACUCACAAAGGGAUUUUUUUAGUGGCCUUGUCAUUUGCCUAGUACUGGAGUGCUUAACUUACCAGGUUCUAUGCUAAGCCCUUUACAUGUUAACUUCUUUUAACACUUUGAACAACUGUGUAGCAGAUGGUGUUUGCUCUUUUCAGAUGGGUAGGUCCCACAGUUUUUGAGCACAAUUUUAAAGUUGCAUGGUUUUUAAGCAGCUGGAAUUUAGAUUCGAGUCUGUCCAAGAACCCUUUGUUCUUGACUAGUAUAUUGAUUCUGGUGUUCAUUCUGAAGAAUGAAGAGGCUAUAGGAGAUACAUCAUUUUUCUAGAGAAAAGAGUGGGAGAACUUAGCCUUAUGAGAUACCAAACAUUGUAAAAUAGUAAUAUAUAAGAAGAAAUUAUCUUGGUACUCAUGCAAUUUUCAGCCACAUUUAAUUUUUGAUCAAUAAUUUUGUAAUAGUGCUCAUUGCUAGGAAAGUAGAAAACUAUAGUGUAGGCUAAUGGGAAGGAAAAUGAAAACUUUAUUUUGUGAAGUUAUUUCAAAAGCCUUAAAAUUUUUUCUGCCUUAGGUCCAGGAUUCCAUUUGAGAGUCCCAAGGGAAAAAAAGUUGACAGAUAUUUGUCAUAAAGAUUUUCAUACUGUUAAUUUCUUUUUUUUUUUUUUUUUUUUAAGAUUUUAUUUAUUCACAAGACAGAGAGAGAGUCAGAGACAGGCAGAGGGAGAAGCAGGCUCCAUGCAGGGAGCCCGAUGUGGGACUCAACUCCUGGGUCUCCAGGAUCACGCCAUGGGCUGAAAGCGGCGCUAAACUGCUGAGCCACCCAGGGAUCCCUAUAAUGUUAAUUUCUUAAUUGAAAGAAAACCCGUACAUUCUUAAUUAGAGGAAUGGUUAAGUAAAUUACUUGAAGAAUAGAUCUGGAGUUCUGUAAAGUUCAGUACUUAAUUGUCUUGACAUAAAAACAUCACUUUCAUUUGCUUCAACUUACUAUUUCUAUGCAUUUUUAAAAGGAAAUAUUUUCAAAGCUGUACUUUAAAAAUUGGCUAAAGGAAAAAAGUAUUAACAUAAGUACUAUCACUUCAGCUACAUUGUCUCUGAAAAUGACAUUGGUGAGUGUAGGCACAAGAGUUAUUUUCCUUAAGUAUUCGGUUAGUAAAACUUAAGGCUUCCUAGGAAAGUUUCAGAGACUCAAAACCUCUGGGCGCAUGGUGUGCUGGUAAAUGUUAAAUGAUUUGUAGCAUUUGCUGAUUCCUCUACAAUGGCAAUUUCAAACUACUAACGUGCUGUCAACUAGCUCACAAGAUUUCUGAAACUUUGACAUUCGGCUCUUUUACACUGGUAUUGCACAGCCUAACCAUCUCCCUACCUCCCCCAGAAGAAAAGCUCUUUUCUCUUCUUGCUUGAAGAUUAACAGCUCAUUGUUUAUACCUGGGUUGGUCAAGUUGGCUCCUUAUGUGGUCCUGCAGAAUGAAGCUGCAGAGUUGGAGGUAGGUUUGGUGUGGUUAAUUAAUGCAGGUUCUGGGAGUCAAGGGGUGGAUUAUGGAAACAAGCAGAUACUUUGCUUCAAGUGGUUGAAAAGGUCUAAAUUUGUAAGCUUUCUGGCCAGCGCUCAUUUCCUCAUUUCCUGUACAGAAUUUCCUCAAAAUCAUUUGUUCAGAGGCAACCUAUACUCUCAUCCUCUUAAUGCUCUACUUUCCAACUUUUCCUACUCUGCUACCUCUGGCUGCCUGGUUUUAGCAACAGAGAAACGACCCCUUUCACUUCAGUUAAGUUGAGAGUGUACCAAGGUCUAUAUGACAUGUCUCUUGAAGUACAGAAUGAUGACAAAAAUUUUGCAGUAUUUGGAAGUUGUGUUUGAAUAUGAUUAUUUUUUAUUAAAUGUUAGGAGUUACAUUCCUGAAGAAUUGGGAGAAUGCCAUCUGAGCAUUGGCAUUGGGGAUCCAUGGAUGAAUGACAAACACCCACAGAAUGUGGACCUUUUAAAUAGUACUUUCUGGGGAUAAGUUGUUUCAAGUGAUAACUAAAUUACCUGACUUGGUGUAGAGAAUUAUAUUUAUGUCAGUGGUGGAAAAUAUUUUGUAGUUCAAGUUAAUAUACCAGAAUAACUGAUUCUGAGUAAUUUUAUUGUAAUUUUUUUCCUGUAGAUUUUAAACCUUAUUUUUUCUAAAAUUUCAUUUUUAAUUCUUUGAACAUGCUUGAAUUGUUAACAUUUGGGUAUUAUAAACAGCUUUAGUGACAUGUAAUUAACAUAUACAAUUUACCCACUUAAAGCAUGCAAAUUCAAUGGCUUUUAGUAUAUUUAUACGGUUGUGCAUCCAUUCCCACAUUUCAUUAUCCCCCAAAAGAAAUCCAUCCCCUUAGCUAUCAAACUCCAAUCUCCCCUUAUUUGCCUCUAACCCUUGACAACCACCAAUCUACUUUUUGUUGAUUUAAAUUUGCCUAUCCUAGACAUUUUGUAUAAAUGGAAACAAUAUGUGGUCCUUUGGGACUGACUGCUUUGACUUAGCAUUAUAUUUUCUUUCUUUUUUUUUUUUUAAGAUUUUAUUUAUUUAUUCAUGAGAGACACAGAGAGAGAGAGAGAGAGGCAGACACACAGGCAGAGAGAGAAGCAGGCUCCAUGCUGGGAGCCCGAUGUGGGACUCAAUCCUGGGUCUCCAGGAUCAGGCCCUGGGCUGCAGGCGGCGCUAAACCGCUGAGCCACCUGGGCUGCCCAGCAUUAUAUUUUCAAGGUUAAUCAAAGUUGUAGCAUGUGUCAAUACUCCAUUUAUUUUUUUCCCUGCCCCAGUACUUCCCAUGGUACAAAUAUGCCACAUUUUCUUUGUCAGUUGACAAACAUUUUGGUUAUAUCUGUUUUUGGCUGUUAUGAGUAAUAACUACUGUGGAUAUUCAUGUACAAGUUUCUGUGAACAUGUUUGCAGCUUUCUUGUGUAUACACCUAAGAGUGGAAUUACUGGAUUAUGUGAUGACUAUGUUUAAGAUUUUGAGAAACUGCUAGACUAUUUUCAAAGUGGUUAUAACAUUUGAUGUUUCCAUCAACAGUGUAUAAAAUGUAUAAAGGUUCCAAUUUUCACAGCAUCACCAACAAUUAUUAUCUUUGAAUAAUACUUUUAAUUAUUUUAAAUAUUAAUAUUUUUAUUCUGUGUUGCCAUAACAGUAGGAAGCACAAUAUUCAUAUUGUGCCAAAUUAAAGAUACUAAACU
RNAcentral lists this long non-coding RNA (3782 nucleotides) under Canis lupus familiaris (dog). Its description in RNAcentral is "lncRNA (ENSCAFG00000051023.1)". The record is from RNAcentral. Lineage: Eukaryota; Metazoa; Chordata; Mammalia; Carnivora; Canidae.